AGCGGCGUAAGGGGCAGUAAUACCUGGGAACGUACCCUUUGGUCGGGGAUAGCUGCUGGAAACGGCGAGUAAUACCCGAUGAACUCGAGAGAGCAGAGGCUUGCCGCCGGAGGAGCGGCCCAGGCGAUAUUAGCUAGUUGGUGGGGUAAUGGCCUACCAAGGCUUAGAUGUCUAGCGGGUGUGAGAGCACGACCCGCGCCACUGGCACUGAGACACUGGCCAGACACCUACGGGUGGCUGCAGUCGAGAAUCUUCGGCAAUGGGCGCAAGCCUGACCGAGCGACGCCGCGUGCGGGAUGAAGGCCUUCGGGUUGUAAACCGCUUUGGUCCGAGAGAAAGGGCAACUUGAUCGAUCGGAGAAACAAGGACGGGCUAAGUUCGUGCCAGCAGCCGCGGUAAGACGAACCGUCCAAACGUUAUUCGGAAUCACUGGGCUUAAAGGGCGCGUAGGCGGCCGAGCGGGUCGCGGGUGAAAUCCCCCAGCUUAACUGGGGAACUGCCCUCGAUACCACUGCGGCUCGAGGAAGGAAGGGGUCAUGGGAACUGUCGGUGGAGCGGUGAAAUGCGUUGAUAUCGACAGGAACGCCUGUGGCGAAAGCGCAUGACUGGUCCUUUUCUGACGCUGAGGCGCGAAAGCCAGGGGAGCAAACGGGAUUAGAUACCCCGGUAGUCCUGGCCUUAAACGAUGAGAACUAGGUAG
RNAcentral lists this ribosomal RNA (700 nucleotides) under uncultured bacterium. RNAcentral's name for it is "bacterial SSU rRNA". It matches the Rfam family "Bacterial small subunit ribosomal RNA", at positions 94 to 823 of the family's 1533-position model. The record is from RNAcentral.